RNAcentral lists this ribosomal RNA (253 nucleotides) under uncultured bacterium. RNAcentral describes it as "partial 16S ribosomal RNA". It matches the Rfam family "Bacterial small subunit ribosomal RNA", at positions 524 to 776 of the family's 1533-position model. The record is from RNAcentral.
UACGUAGGGGGCAAGCGUUGUCCGGAUUUAUUGGGCGUAAAGAGCGUGUAGGUGGCUAAUUAGGUCGGUUGUGAAAACUGGAGGCUUAACCUCCAGACGUCGACCGAAACCAUCUGGCUAGAGUCCGGAAGAGGAGAGUGGAAUUCCUGGUAUAGCGGUGAAAUGCGCAGAUAUCAGGAAGAACACCCGUGGCGAAGGCGGCUCUCUGGGACGGUACUGACGCUGAGACGCGAAAGCGUGGGGAGCGAACAGG